RNAcentral lists this ribosomal RNA (255 nucleotides) under uncultured bacterium. Its description in RNAcentral is "partial 16S ribosomal RNA". It matches the Rfam family "Bacterial small subunit ribosomal RNA", at positions 524 to 776 of the family's 1533-position model. The record is from RNAcentral.
UACGGAGGGGGCGAGCGUUAUUCGGAAUUAUUGGGCGUAAAGGGCGCGUAGGCGGCUGAACAAGUCAAAGGUGAAAUCCCUCGGCUCAACUGAGGAACUGCCUUUGAAACUGUUCGGCUUGAGGCCGGGGAGGGGGGUAGCGGAAUUCCCAGUGUAGCGGUGAAAUGCGUAGAUAUCAGGAGGAACACCGGUGGCGAAGGCGGGUCUCUGGGCAGUAACUGACGCUGAGGCGCGAAAGCGUGGGGAGCAAACAGG